RNAcentral lists this transfer RNA (74 nucleotides) under Actinomycetota bacterium. Its description in RNAcentral is "Actinobacteria bacterium tRNA-Val". It matches the Rfam family "tRNA". From Rfam's summary of the family: Transfer RNA (tRNA) molecules are approximately 80 nucleotides in length. Their secondary structure includes four short double-helical elements and three loops (D, anti-codon, and T loops). The record is from RNAcentral. Lineage: Bacteria; Bacillati; Actinomycetota.
GGGCGUAUAGCUCAGUUGGUUAGAGCGCACGCCUCACACGCGUGAGGUCACUGGUUCGAGUCCAGUUACGCCCA